Molecule: ribosomal RNA, 428 nt
Filed under: uncultured soil bacterium
Lineage: Bacteria
Description: bacterial SSU rRNA
Rfam family: Bacterial small subunit ribosomal RNA
Source: RNAcentral
AGGACAAACGCUGGCGGGGUGCAUGAGACAUGCAAGUCGAACGGGGUGCCAUCGGGCUUGCUCGAUGGUUACCUAGUGGCGGACGGCUGAGUAACGCGUAGGUGACCUACCCGGAAGUGGGGAAUAACUGCCCGAAAGGGUGGCUAAUACCGCAUGUGGUCGGCGAUUCGAUUCGUCGUCUAAAGGAGUAAUCCGCUUCCGGCGGGGCCUGCGUCCGAUUAGCUAGUUGGUGGGGUAAUGGCUCACCAAGGCGACGAUCGAUAGCCGGCCUGAGAGGGUGAUCGGCCACACUGGAACUGAGACACGGUCCAGACUCCUACGGGAGGCAGCAGUGGGGAAUUUUGCGUCAAUGGGGCUAACGCCUGACGCAGCAACGCCGCGUGGAGAUGAAGGUCUUGGAUUGUAAACUCCUGUAAGCGAGGAAAAGC